CAAUAGCGUAUAUUUAAGUUGUUGCAGUUAAAAAGCUCGUAGUCGGAUUUUGGCUGAGAACGAUCGGUCCGCCGUUAGGUGUGCACUGAUUGGUCUCAGCUUCCUGGUGAGGAGGUGUGCUUCACGGCCACUUAGUCACCGUGGUUACUUUGAAAAAUUAGAGUGUUCAAAGCGGGCUUACGCUUGAAUAUAUUAGCAUGGAAUAACACCAUAGGACUCCUGUCCUAUUUCGUUGGUCUCGGGACGGGAGUAAUGAUUAAGAGGAACAGUUGGGGGCAUUCGUAUUUCAUUGUCAGAGGUGAAAUUCUUGGAUUUAUGAAAGACGAACUUCUGCGAAAGCAUUUGCCAAGGAUGUUUUCAUUGA
RNAcentral lists this ribosomal RNA (364 nucleotides) under uncultured eukaryote. RNAcentral describes it as "partial 18S ribosomal RNA". It matches the Rfam family "Eukaryotic small subunit ribosomal RNA", at positions 592 to 976 of the family's 1831-position model. The record is from RNAcentral.